RNAcentral lists this long non-coding RNA (1714 nucleotides) under Vigna radiata. Its description in RNAcentral is "long non-coding RNA (VRAD_LNC011008)". The record is from RNAcentral. Lineage: Eukaryota; Viridiplantae; Streptophyta; Magnoliopsida; Fabales; Fabaceae.
CGAGAACUAAACUGAACAUCAGAACUUAACUUAGGGAUCAAAAAAGGGUUUAAACCAAUAAAUAAAGCCUAGGAAACUAAGAUGCAGUGUCAUCUGCUCCUUCCAAACCUGUCUCCAGUGGAACCUCAUCUUCCUCUGCUCACAUCCUAGUAGAAGAUCAUUGCAAAAGAAAACACACGCAUAUAUGGCACAAACACAGAAAAGCAAGGGUGAGCUAACUAUAUAAAAAAAAGAAGCAUACAACAUAGGAGCAUGUACAUACAAGAGUUUAACUUACAGUAAACAAGAUAAAACAUCCAUCCUAUCAUGUUAAAUACUAUACUUGACUCGUUCGGACUUUAGAAUGAUAGUCGAGUUAUAACGGGUCAUGCACCCAUGGUGGCUUAUGAAACUUGGGUUCCCCACCCUGCCACACUCACGAGGUUAGUAUGUUCCGCGCCUUGGAGCAUACUAGAAGCCUCCAAGACUAAGACCUCCUACUACUCCUCAUCACAUGGUCCAAUCCUCUCUACGUGAGAAGAAAUGGCCAUUGGAGCGUCAGGAAGACUCCCAAGACUGAGCUCGUACUUUCAUUCUAAAACACUAAGAAUCUCACCAAGAGAUUCUACACAGAUGGAACUUGGUUUACCACUUGGAUCGUACUUUCAUCACUUUGUAAUCAUAUACUUUUUCCAAAAUAAACAUAUACAUAAUCUAAAUAAUAAACAUUCUCAAAACAAUCAUUACAAAACCAAAAAAUAACGACAAGUCAAUCCAAAAUAAAAUAGUCAAUUAUUUACUAAACACACACCCCUAUUUUUCUAAGUCCUGUGAAAACUCUUUCACGAACCCCACUCUAUAUCCAAAAUAUUAAACUAAGUUAUAUGUACUUAGGUGGCCCCACAUGGUUAAUCUAUUUUACUAAACUCAUCCUAUAAAUUCUUACGUAAACACCCAUCACUUUUCAUACUUUUAUUUUAUUUCCUUUUAAACACUCAAGUGGACCCCACAGUUCAUUAAUUUCUCGACUUUACUACCCAACACUUAUUUUAUUCAUACAAUCUUCUCCACUAAUCUACGAAACCUCUCUCCCAUUUUUCAAUAACAACACACAAGCUCAUUAAAAUAAAACAUUAUAUGCCUAUCAAGUAAACCCAAAAUAAUACAUAGACUAAUUAAUACAUAAUAUCAGUAAAUACAUAUAUAAAAUAUUAUAUAUUGUUAAUCUAAAAAACAAAAUACUAAUUAAAGAAGACAAAAGCUAUAGCAUAUUAAGCUUUCUGCCGUGACUUUGAAAAUAAGAGAAAAUGUUAUUUUAAUAUACCAUUCAACUACAAGAUUUUAAUGAAAAGAAAAGUAAAUGAGAAUGCACCAAAUUCUGUCACUUUUACAUGAAAUUACAAAGGUAAGUUCAAACUUCAUCCAUUUAAAAAAAUAUUUUAUAUUAUUUCCACCAAAACUUUUGUUGCACCAAUAAGAGACUCUCCAUGUAAUCAUUACCCUAUUCCAAUUUCUUAAACUUACCCUACUAACUUUCUAUUAAGGCUUAAAUGCUUACUUGGUCUCUAUGUUAGGAGGAAAUUUUCAGUUGAGUAGCCGGUUUUAAAAAUGUAUACAUUGAAUCCCUAUGUUUUGCAAUUUGUAUCAAUUCCAUCCUAUUCGUUUAACGGUGUUAAAAUAGAUAACAUUAAACUCACUAUACAUGUGAGGUGGGUGAGAAAUGGUCACGUGUCGU